RNAcentral lists this ribosomal RNA (1329 nucleotides) under Triticum aestivum (bread wheat). Its description in RNAcentral is "partial small subunit ribosomal RNA". Lineage: Eukaryota; Viridiplantae; Streptophyta; Magnoliopsida; Poales; Poaceae. The record is from RNAcentral.
AUGGAGGAUACCGCUGCUACACACCGCUAUCCCGCCUGGGUUCUCCUCGAGGAGGAUGCCCGCUACGACGACCGCGAGAACGCCACCACCGCCGAAGCCAAGACGAGGGCCGGCCACGUCGUCAGGGUGACCUUCUUUCUCGCAGACCCGCCGGCCGUCUCCUACUUAUGCGUCCACGGCAGCCCCGAACUCAAGCGCGGGGACUACUCCCUUGAGCCCCGGGUGGUUUUCUCGGAGAAACACCUCGUCCUCCUCCGCUUCUUCACCAUCGGCCCCUGUAGCACCUUGGACAAUUCUCUCUCCGAAUACUUCGUCUACAGAGCCAGCCCUGGCAAGCCUUCGCUUAGGCGGAUCCCGACCGCCACUCGUCGGCCUGACAAGGCUAGAUCGUAUCCCGCCAUCCUGCCGUUCGCCGACGACGAUGACAACUUCCUCGUCGCCGAUCUCGCCCUGACACCGACCCUUGGGCACUAUGUCCUCCACACCUUCUCGUCCAAGACGAACAAGUGGACCGCCAAGCCGUUGCAGUUGCAUGCAUCUCCGGCCGUGAGGGACGACCUGCCCAGCCUACCCCACAAGGUGAUCGCGCUUGGAGCUGACACCGUAGGCUGGAUCGACCUCUGGCGAGGCAUCGUCGUCUGCAACGUGUUCGACCCGGACCCCGUUCUCCGCUUCAUCCCGCUGCCCAAGCCUGGGUUCAACUUGCUGCGGCAAGGUGACCCGCGGCCAUGCCGUGACGUCGCCUUCCAUGAUGGGCUUAUCAAGUUCGUCGAGGUGGAGCAUUUUGAAAGACCCGCUAGUCCCGACAGCGACGACGACGAUGAGACGAAUUUCAAGACGACCGCGGAUCUUGACGACGUAGAUGUCAUCCAUGAUUCGGAGCUCUACUUCAAGAGCUAUGCACAUCUAAUGGAAGAUGAACCCGGUUAUGUCUCUGAUGGCUGGAAGAUACGGACAUGUUACAGGCAUGCUUCCUGGGACCAUUGGCGCAAGGGUCACAGCGUCCAUGUCGAUGACAUCUUGGUCAACAACCCGAUGCACCAAAUGAUGCUGCCUGCGCUGUGGGAUGGUACCGCGCGAAAAUACACAUUGAGGAGUCUGACGACAGUUUGCCCGACACUCACGAUCCAUGGUGGGGAUGUUGUCUACCUUGUUCCUAUGGUGGAGGUUGGCAAGGGCUCCUUGCUUGGUGUCGACCUUGGCAAGAAGACAGUGGAAGUAGUUGAACCAUACUCUGCCGGGAGAUUUGGCCUGCACCUUGCCCUUGCCUGUACAUUCUCCGGUUAUCUCAAUACAACUCCAAGGCAUGUUUUUUUAUGUACGAAAUGA